UACGUAGGCAGCGAGCGUUGUUCGGAAUUACUGGGCGUAAAGAGUGUGUAGGCGGUGCUCUAAGUUCGGUGUGAAAUCUCCUGGCUCAACUGGGAGGGUGCGCCGGAAACUGGAGUGCUUGAGCGUGGGAGAGGAAAGUGGAAUUCCCGGUGUAGUGGUGAUAUGCGUAGAUAUCGGGAGGAACACCUGUGGCGAAGGCGGCUUUCUGGGCCCUACCUGACGCUGAGACGCGAAAGCGUGGGGAGCGAACCGG
Molecule: ribosomal RNA, 253 nt
Filed under: uncultured bacterium
Lineage: Bacteria
Description: partial 16S ribosomal RNA
Rfam family: Bacterial small subunit ribosomal RNA
Source: RNAcentral